This 267-nucleotide long non-coding RNA is filed under the name Prunus persica (peach). RNAcentral's name for it is "long non-coding RNA (PPER_LNC008374)". The record is from RNAcentral. Lineage: Eukaryota; Viridiplantae; Streptophyta; Magnoliopsida; Rosales; Rosaceae.
GUGGUUUCAAUUUGAUGCAAUUUAAGCACAAUUCUCAAUUUUUGAUACUUAUUGAGGGCCAUUUCAGUCCAAACUUGCAGCCCCUCCCCAACCACCUCUACCGCCGCUAGCCCUCCAAAAACUCCUCCAUGUUGUAAACAUUGACAAUCCCACUGUCUAAACCAGUAACAAACAAUGCUUCUUCGAGAUGUAUAAAGAGAGGUACCAUUAUACAACCUUCAUUAAUAUUUUUUAUAGAGAUUAUGUUGAAUUACAUAAUAAGAAACU